This 3950-nucleotide long non-coding RNA is filed under the name Homo sapiens (human). Its description in RNAcentral is "HSALNT0339834". Lineage: Eukaryota; Metazoa; Chordata; Mammalia; Primates; Hominidae. The record is from RNAcentral.
CCUCUCAAUUUUAGAGUCUUCCAAUAGAAAGCUUGUUCUUGUCUCUGUCUCCAGAGUGAAGUUUGUCUCCCUGACAGUUAAUCCUGAGACAGCCUUCCAUUGCCUUGAUAGGCUUGUCAUUCAUGCCUUGACACCUCUCAUUCAUCUGAGUCUGGCCUGCUGGAUAUGCAAAUGAUAGGAGGACUGAAAAUCAUAAUCCUUCAGCCGUGAUGGCGUCAACGUCACUAUUCUUGGAACAAGCCAUUUUUACCAGAGAUGUCUCCAAGAGCACCAGCAACCCCAGCUAUCUGGAUCUGAAGUGGAUAUGCUCAGAGACAUCCUGGCCCACCCCAAAGAAGAUGCUGCUGCACUCAGAAGACGCCAGAGCUAGCCACCACCCACACUGCAAGUCUGGAAGCUCUGCAAGGACCCAGCAAGGCAGCCUGCUCAGCGAAGGCUUUGUCUCCUGUGGCAGGAAGAGCAACAUUAAGAACAAGAACCCCGGGCUGGACUACCCCUGAGAUUUAAUGACCAGAGCUGAGACCCCCAAGACCACAAUGACUAUGGAGGGCUGUCAUUACCCUGCCUGACCCUCUAAUGCCUCUCAGUUCAAGGAGGCCACUGAGUGAAACUGAAGGCUGGUUUUCCUUGGAAGCCAGCGGCCCAUCCACCUGCUCCACUUCCCUGCCUCUUGCAGCCUCCGCUCAAACACUGUCGUGGCUUGGCAGCACUACAAGGCAGAGUGAAAACAGAUACUUCUACCCACAUUCCUAUCUCCUCUCAUUUACGCAGAUUAAAUGCUUUCUUUCCUUGUUUUACACUGCUAGGAUUUUCAUCACCCUGUUUUUUCUUUCUCUACAUCAGCUACAAGAAAAAAAAAAGGAGUUACUGAGCAACUAAGAAGUCACAACUGUUUUCAGUUUUAUUAAUGAGUUGUUAUACUUAUUUUAUAGAUAGAGAAUUACCAUUAUAACAUUGCUCCAUUGCCCACUCAUCCAUUCACGCAUCUGUCCAUCCGUCCAUCCACCCAUUUGUCCACUCCCCAAAUGGUCAUCAAUUGUCUACUGUGAGCCAAGCAAAGUGCUCCUUACUUUGGACUCUGAAUCCAGUGCUCUUUCUACUUCACCAUAGACACAUGCCCCUUGAGUAUAAGGGAGCUUGAUUCAUUCAACAAAUAUCUGUUGUCCAUCUCCAAUGUACUGGCAUAUUCUAAAUGCAUCCAACAAAAACCAAAAUGAAAAAAAAGAAAAACCCAUUCCUUCAAGGGGAUUGCAUUCGGACUGGGGGAGACAGAUAAAAUAAAAAUAAUGAAGUCAAAUAUAUAUGUUAGUGACAUGUGCCAUGAAGAAUAAUGCCCAAUAGGUAAAUGGGGCAAUUAACAAACGUAAUGUAAAUAAAUUAGUUCCAAGAAAUCAUUGACUCACCAACAGAGGGAACACAAUUUGGUCCAUGGUAAAAUAUUCCUUGGUAUUAAUAAUUUCUUCUCCUAAAGUAUUUCAGGGGCUGCCAAGCUGCUCUCCUGUUUCCUCUUCCUUGGGGCUGAUUGCAUCCCAUGAUGUGCCCAGGUUUUGAGAUGCUCCUCGUGAAUGAAAAUAGGACUGUCUGGUUCCUCCAUCCAUAGCAAGGGAGCCUAGACAGAAAUAACUUCUGUGCAUUUCUCCAGCUACAUUUAGGUAAGUGAUGCCUUUUCUUCGUUUUCUUUAAGAUGUCCUAUAAAACCCUAUUGAUGUAGCUCAGUUGUUUGAAAUUUAUGAUGCUUUAGAUAGGCUUUGGCCUGAGAUUGCCUUGAGGAAUGGUGUAGGUACACAAAUUAAGAAUAAAAAUAAGAUUGCAAAAAAUUGCACCACUUAAGGGAAUUAGUUGCUUUUUUCAUUAUCUUGAAUAAUUUGUUCUUAAAUGCAUCAGAGGGACCAAAUCAUAGCUGACUGAUCGGCUCGUUAUAAAUAAUUCUCACCUAUUCCUAAAAGCGGGGGCCUGUUGUGCACUUGCUACCUCCGUUUAGAGAAUAUUGCACUUCAAGCCCAUUGGAUUUGAAAGUAAUAGAAAUGGUCUUUUUAAAGCCAAUAUUCUAGAAUGAGCACUUCAUUAAAUCGAGACCCACCUUUUACCCAAAUUUAGCUAGACUUUAAUGUGCAUCACACAUCUCUAAUCUGGGCUUUUCCUAUAGCCUCUUUCAAAGGACAUAUUUGUUCAGCCUUAUCAGUGAGGUAUUCAAUCAUGCUUCCCUUGUAUCAGGCACCUCAAGGGCAGGAGCUAACACAAAUGUGCUUGGUUUUUAAUAGCUGAAAAUAUGUCUACGUGAGGUUAACUGUAUUUACCCAAUGCCAGAUACCUGAAAGAGUGUGAAAAAUUAAGGUAAUUAUUAAUGUCUCCAAAUAGCUGGAUGAUGGUGUCAUAUUUGCAAUGCAUAGAUUAUGCCAUCAUGUCAGAUUUGGGACACUUUGGGAGGUUGGGAAUGGGAUGGGGAUGGGUGGCAGUGAAUAACAUCAGACAGGGUGGAUACGUAAUUCCAAAGUUGGAAUUAGUGUCUCUAUUUUAACAGCAAUUCCUUUACUUAACAGCAAUUCUUUUCUGUUUAUCAUUUUAGGGAAAACUAGAAAAUACAGAAAUAUAUCAAGAAGAAAAAAAAUUUAAAAAUGACCCAAAAUCCCACCAACCAGAGACAGCUAUUAAUGAUUGUGGUAUAUUUAUUGUAAGUCUCUUUAUUUCUGUCUUCAUGCAAACACAUUUUUAAAGAAUGGACACUGGUAUUAUAUUGUUUAUACAACUCUAAAUGCUGCUUUUUCACUUAUUACAAUUAGGACUUUUUUCAUGUUAAUAAAUACUUCCUGAAAACAUAAAUAUCUAAUGGUUACAUCAAAAUUUAUUACCUUUUCCUUGUUGAUGAACAUUUAGGUUGCUUUCAUUUUUUCUUGCUUAUAUAAAAUAAACAUUCUUGAACAUAAAUACAUGUUAACAGCUCUGAAAAUUACUCCAUGCCCUUAUUCUUUUUCUUUCUUUCUUUCUUUUUUUUUUUUUUUUUUUGAGACAGGGUCUCACUCUGUCACCCAGGCUGGAAUACAAUGGCAUGAUCUCUGCCUCCCGGGUUCAAGAGAUUUUUGUUCCUCAGCCUCCCGAGUAGUGGGACCACAGGCGUGCACCACCAUGCCUGGCUAAUUUUUGUAUUUUUUGGUAGAGAUGGGGUUUCACCAUGUUGACCAGGCUGGUGUUGAACUCCUGGCUUCAAGAGAUCCACCCAUCUCAGCCUCCCAAAGUGCUGGGAUUACAGGCGUGAGCCGCUGUGCCCAGCCAUGCCCUUAUUCUUGAUCACCUUCCCUACAUUUGGAGGGGUUAUGGAGACAUAAAGUGUGCCUAAGAUCCUGAUAACAGAGCAGAUGGUUUAUUUUUUGUGGCAAGGAUAUUUUGUGGCAAGGAUGUUUUGCAUUGAUCAGUUGCAUUUAAUAAAUUAAUUACUUUAUUUAUUCAAUAGGAAUUUACUAAAGUCAUGCUAUACGCUAGGCACUGUGGAGGGACUGCAGAAAGACUUCAAGGACUGCACCGUCUUGUUAGAAAGAUGCCUAGACAACAUUUGAGAAACGCUGAUCAUGUCUGAUGACACAUAACUGCUAACAGUUACAUGGAAUUUUCUAUAUGCUAUAUACAAACAUACAAAUAUAUGUAUGUAUAUUUACUCAGCUCUCACAACAGCUACUACUGUUAUUAUGAAUCCUGUUUUAUAGUGAGAAAACUGAAACAUGGAGAGGUUAAGUAAUUUGCCCAAGAUCACAUAGCUACUAAGUGGUGGAACUGUGAUUAGAAUCCAGGCAUUCAGGCUCCAGAGUUCAUACUCUUCACAUACCACAUCUAUCUUGAAUAUAACAAUGUAGAGAAAAAGAAUUAUAGCAAGCAUAUGUCUAGGUAAGCAUUUUCCAGAAGUGACUGUUUUUUUGCAUUGGGUUUGUAAACUUUCAACAAUAAAGCAGGUUGGACUU